UUUUUUUUUUUAAAUGUAGGGCAGUCCCGAUAUGUUGAUGAUCAUGUACUUAUAUAUACAAUUCUGGCUGAGAAAUUUGUUCUUUCAAGGGUUAUCAAUGCAUGUAGUUUGACGUGGCUAAUAGAGAUUAGUAUGUUUUUGGCUUAGUUUCUAGAUGCAGAUGGAUAAUCUGUGUUCUUUAGCUCUUAGCUUCACUUAGUAACAAAUUUUGUCUUAAAUAAUUGUACCCCACUAGAAAACCUAGUAGCCUAGUGGUAAUGACACGUCAAGUACAAGUAGAGAUUCAGAACCUCAAAUGUAUAAGUUACACUGUGUGCGAAUCCCGGAUAAAUCAAAACCUUAAUGCGGGUACCGAGACAUUGGUGGGUAAACCUAAAAAACAACCUCAAAUAUAUAGGUUGAAGCUUUAAUGCGGGUAGUGAGAUACCGGAUGGGAAACCUAAAAAAGAACUCAAAUAUAUAGGUUACACUACACGCGAAUCCUGGAUAAAUCGAAGCCUUAACGUGGGUACUGAAACACCAGAUGGGUAAACCUAAAAAAAAACCUCAAAUAUAUAGGUUACACUGGGCGCGAAUCCCGAAUAAAUGCGAGUAGACACCGGGUGAGUAAACCUAAAAAAGAACCUCAAAUAUAUAGGUUGAAGCUUUAAUGCGGGUAGUGAGAUACCGGAUGGAAAACCUAAAAAAAAAUUCAAAUAUAUAGGUUACACUACACGCGAAUCCUGGAUAAGUCGAAGCCUUAACGUGGGUAUUGAAACACCAGAUGGGUAAACCUAAAAAAGAACCUCAAAUAUAUAGGUUACACUGGGCACGAAUCCCGAAUAAAUGCGAGUAGACACCGGGUGAGUAAACCUAAAAAAGAACCUCAAAUACAUAGGAUAUGCACAGUGAUACUAUUUUAUUGUGGCAAUAAGAUCAAUGUCCUGAAGUUUCUUGGAUUGAAGCAUUGGUUCUUUGCUAUUUCUCCAAAUCUGUAAUUAAAUGUACUACUCCAUGCCUGCUACACUUUUCCAAAAUAUGAAACUAUUUAAGUUCCAAUCACCUAAUGUAACAUACUUAUACCAUCUACUAGAACCUAAAUAGCUUUAUCUAUCUGCAUUUCCCUACUAAAGACUAGACCAAGAGACAGAUAUAACUCCACACAUUCUCUUGAAGAAAUAACACUUUCUGAAUCAAGAUAUCAUAUAAGAAAUAAACAAGAUCCAAAGGUUCCACUUUGAUUGAACACAUAACAGAGUCUGUUUUUCGAGGGAAGGAAAUGUUUUUCUAAGGAUUCUUGAAAAGCUUCAUAAAUAAUCCAAUGUAGCUCAGUUUUCAGUAUCAUUAUCUAAUGAAGACGAUUAUAAAGGCAAAACAAAUAAUCUGGUAUAACUUAUGGAACCAUCAACAUUAAAGAUACGCCGUGGAGCCUCCUCCUAAGGACCUUGCUCGAUCAAAACUUUCUCGUGGUGGCAUAACCAUGGAUUUGUAGUCGUAAAAUGUUGGUCUUCUUGAUCUACGAAUUCACGGAUCAGACAUCUUCGGUGGCAUUU
This 1532-nucleotide long non-coding RNA is filed under the name Nicotiana tabacum (common tobacco). RNAcentral describes it as "long non-coding RNA (NTAB_LNC000766)". Lineage: Eukaryota; Viridiplantae; Streptophyta; Magnoliopsida; Solanales; Solanaceae. The record is from RNAcentral.